This 253-nucleotide ribosomal RNA is filed under the name uncultured bacterium. RNAcentral's name for it is "partial 16S ribosomal RNA". It matches the Rfam family "Bacterial small subunit ribosomal RNA", at positions 524 to 776 of the family's 1533-position model. The record is from RNAcentral.
UACGAAGGGGGCUAGCGUUGCUCGGAAUCACUGGGCGUAAAGCGCACGUAGGCGGAUUUUUAAGUCAGGGGUGAAAUCCUGGAGCUCAACUCCAGAACUGCCUUUGAUACUGGGAAUCUCGAGUCCGGGAGAGGUGAGUGGAACUGCGAGUGUAGAGGUGAAAUUCGUAGAUAUUCGCAAGAACACCAGUGGCGAAGGCGGCUCACUGGACUGGUAUUGACGCUGAGGUGCGAAAGCGUGGGGAGCAAGCAGG